AGAGUAUUAUUUUAGGAAAGUCCAUAUUUGUGAUACUAUAUAUAGUGAUAAGGACACCCUUUUAUAUAAGGAGUGCACAAGUUUUACAUGAUUGUCUGUAGCGUUAAAAUUGUUUAAUUUGAAUGCAAAAAAUGGAUGGUCGAAUAAAAGUUUGAGUUAUGGUUCACUUAAUUGUUCAUCUAGUAAGAGAAAUUAUAUUUUGUGGUCUAGUUUAUUUAAGUUGGAUGUACCAAAUAGAGUGAUACAUGAAGAUAUUUAAAAGAUAAACGAAGA
This 273-nucleotide long non-coding RNA is filed under the name Lathyrus oleraceus (garden pea). Its description in RNAcentral is "Pisum sativum (pea) long non-coding RNA (PSAT_LNC019593)". Lineage: Eukaryota; Viridiplantae; Streptophyta; Magnoliopsida; Fabales; Fabaceae. The record is from RNAcentral.